GCGAGCCUGAGGGGAUCUUGGGCGGUGAGCUGCCGUGGGAGCUCGCUACGGACUGACUGGAGGAAGUACCAGGCUUAGGUCUCUUCUGUCUCUGCUUCCUGGCUGUCACGUGGUAAAUUGCUGUGCUCCCCACCAUAGUGUCUGCAUCGCCACAGAAGAAAUGGAGCCAAGUGACCCUGGGCUAAACCCUCUAAACUGCCAUCUCUUCAGUGAAGAGAUCUUCUAAUCUCUUGACCCAGCAUCAUGAAAUAUGGGACACUGUGUAGCUGAGGUAUUGGCUGGAACAUACGGAGGCCUGACACCAGCAAGCUGUUGGGAAGAACUCAUCCUUUGGGAUGGAGCCUGGAUGUGCUGCGAACCUGUUACAGAGUCCCAUGGUUCUGCUCAUUCCGAAAGCAAAGCCAUACGUGAACAUUCUGUCUUGCUCCUUCAGCAGUUACAAAUAACUUGACUGCUUUUCCAAAGAUGAAACAAGAUUCUGAAGGUGAAAUAUUCCGUCCAGUUUGCCCUCAGUGGAAGGAGAUCCCAGAAACAUCGUCUUUUGUGAGUAGACACUGUUGACUGUGUACCCACACCCG
Fukomys damarensis (Damara mole-rat) is the source of this 578-nucleotide long non-coding RNA. RefSeq lists it as uncharacterized. The transcript has 6 exons. Lineage: Eukaryota; Metazoa; Chordata; Mammalia; Rodentia; Bathyergidae. The record is from RefSeq and is a predicted model, not a curated record.